CAGUAAGGGCGACUGAAAAGGGAUCAGCCCAGCGCAUAACCUCGCGGUCCUCUGCGGCUGUCGAGGGGUGUUGCGUACAGGUGGAGCCGUACCGUCCGCGCCUCCCACCGCCUAAGUCCUUGCUUAAAAGCAGCCCAGUGCAGGGUGAAAGGCCCGUGUGGCGGCGCCCGUAAAAGGGUUCAAGGCGGCGUGGGCGGAGGGCUCUUACCGGAGAGUCGGGUUGCUUAGUACUGCAGCCCAAAGUAGGUGGUAAACUCCAUCUAAGGCUAAAUAUGACCACGAGUCCGAUAGAGUACAAGUACCGUGAGGGAAAGUUGAAAAGCACUCUGAAGAGAGAGUCAAGAGGACGUGAAACCACUGGUAGCGCAAACGGGUGGAACCGUGAAGGUCGAACGAAGAGGGAGACUCAGCCUGCGGCUUCCGGAGGCGGCCGUUGCCCUCCCUUCCCCUACGUCGGGCUGGGACAUGGCGGCGCGUCGGGCACCGGGACCGCGGGUUUACUUCUCCCCUUUCAGUAGCACGUCGCGAGCAGCCGGGCUAUCCGCCGAUGGCCGCGCACGGAUUGGUAGCCGGGGCCCCUCACGGGGCCGCGGCGAAGACCGCGCCGGUUCUGAGGUGGUCGUCUGGCAUACACUGCGAGGAGGCUCCCCCGAGGAGACUCUCGCGACGGUGAAUCGGUCUCCCACCUGACCCGUCUUGAAACACGGACCAAGGAGUCCAACAGAGGUGCGAGUCGAAGGGUGACACUCUAGACCCGGAGGCGCAAUGAAAGUAAGCCACCAGAUGGCUGGCCGAUCCCCGGCCGGCGGUCCGCGCGCGUCGUGGGCGGUGUCGUCCCGGGGGAAACCCCGGGCGCGCCGUGGCCCGGCGCGGCGGCCGACGGCAGGCGAGGGUGCCCGCCACGGCGGCCCCACGUCUGAGCCUUGACUGUGCAGGGGCGCAGGCCGAGGACUUGCCGCCAGGCGGCCCGGGCCCGUUGCGGCCUCGCGCCGCGCGAGGUCCGGUGUCCGCCGGCAAGUACCUGGGAGCACCCACGUUGGGACCCGAAAGAUGGUGAACUAUGCCUGGUGAGGACGAAGCCAGAGGAAACUCUGGUGGAGGUCCGAAGCAGUUCUGACGUGCAAAUCGAUUGGCAGAACUGGGUAUAGGGGCGAAAGACUAAUCGAACCAUCUAGUAGCUGGUUCCCUCCGAAGUUUCCCUCAGGAUAGCUGGCCUUCGGAGUUGAAACGAGUUUCAUCCGGUAAAGCGAAUGAUUAGAGGCCUUGGGGGUGCAAUGCUUUCAACCUAUUCUCAAACUUUAAAUGGGUGAGACCUGGAGCUUUCUCAAUGAAUGAAGCUCCCAGACUUUCAGAAUCGGAAGGCCUAGUGGGCCACUUUUGGUAAGCAGAACUGGCGCUGUGGGAUUCACCAAACGCACGAGUUAAGGGGCCUAAACGGACGCUAAUUUAGACACUACGAAAAGGUGUUGGUUGCUAUAGACAGCAGGUCGGUGGCCAUGGAAGUCGGAAUCCGCUAAGGAGUGUGUAACAACUCACCUGCCGAAGCAACUAGCCCUUAAAAUGGUAUGGCGCUAAAGCGUUCUCCCGAUACUCGGCCGCUGGGCCAGUAUGGGGCCCGGUCGCGGACUCCGGCGGCCGGGCCUCGAAGGCCCAGCGAGUAGGAGGGUCGCCGCGGUGCGCGUUGAAGGGAUCUCGGCGUAGGCCGACCUGGAGCCGCCGCGGGCGCAGAUCUUGGUGGUAGUAGCAAAUAAUCAAGAGAGAACCUCGUUGACUGAGGUGGAGAAGGGUUCCAUGUCAACAUCAGUUGAACAUGGGUGAGUCAGACCUAAGCCCAAGGAUAAACUUCCUGUGUCCCAUGUGUUCCGCAGGCGAGCUUUACAACCACUUCUCGAGCCACUGCAUGAGCGUUGGGUGAUGCCGGCGACCCUCGUGGGUCGUCAGGAGGCGUGAACAGCGGUUAGUGUCGGCAGGGCGCCGGGCUAAUCGGAGAUCGACCUGUGGCGAAAAUUCCGGCGAGCUCGGUAGUCCUACGGAGAGAAAAUUCCGGCGAGAGAUCGGUAGUCCACGGAGAAAAUUCCGGCGAGAUCGGUAGUUCACGGCGAAAAUUCCGGCGAGAUCGGUAGUCCACCACGAAAAUUCCGGCCCAGAUCGGUAGUUCAAGGUGGAUAUUCCGGCGGGCUCGGUAGUUCAAGGUGAAUAUUCCGGCACGGAUCGGUAGUUCGAGGUGGAAAUUCCGGCGAGAGAUCGGUAGUUCUCAAGGUAGGAAAUUCCGGCGAGAUCGGUAGUUCGCUGCUAAAUUAAAGCUUCGACCCGGUUCUAUUAACUAAGUCCGAGCCGUCACGACCACGUCUCGCGUUUGAGCGUUGAGCGUUGAGCUAGAGCAGCCUCUGUGUCUGUGCACACAACUGUGCUGCACGGUGCAUGCA
RNAcentral lists this ribosomal RNA (2426 nucleotides) under Latreutes fucorum. Its description in RNAcentral is "eukaryotic LSU rRNA". The stretch from base 1 to 1859 matches the Rfam family "Eukaryotic large subunit ribosomal RNA". Lineage: Eukaryota; Metazoa; Arthropoda; Malacostraca; Decapoda; Hippolytidae. The record is from RNAcentral.